Molecule: ribosomal RNA, 1543 nt
Filed under: Shigella sonnei
Lineage: Bacteria; Pseudomonadati; Pseudomonadota; Gammaproteobacteria; Enterobacterales; Enterobacteriaceae
Description: bacterial SSU rRNA
Rfam family: Bacterial small subunit ribosomal RNA
Source: RNAcentral
AAAUUGAAGAGUUUGAUCAUGGCUCAGAUUGAACGCUGGCGGCAGGCCUAACACAUGCAAGUCGAACGGUAACAGGAAGCAGCUUGCUGCUUCGCUGACGAGUGGCGGACGGGUGAGUAAUGUCUGGGAAACUGCCUGAUGGAGGGGGAUAACUACUGGAAACGGUAGCUAAUACCGCAUAAUGUCGCAAGACCAAAGAGGGGGACCUUCGGGCCUCUUGCCAUCGGAUGUGCCCAGAUGGGAUUAGCUUGUUGGUGGGGUAACGGCUCACCAAGGCGACGAUCCCUAGCUGGUCUGAGAGGAUGACCAGCCACACUGGAACUGAGACACGGUCCAGACUCCUACGGGAGGCAGCAGUGGGGAAUAUUGCACAAUGGGCGCAAGCCUGAUGCAGCCAUGCCGCGUGUAUGAAGAAGGCCUUCGGGUUGUAAAGUACUUUCAGCGGGGAGGAAGGGAGUAAAGUUAAUACCUUUGCUCAUUGACGUUACCCGCAGAAGAAGCACCGGCUAACUCCGUGCCAGCAGCCGCGGUAAUACGGAGGGUGCAAGCGUUAAUCGGAAUUACUGGGCGUAAAGCGCACGCAGGCGGUUUGUUAAGUCAGAUGUGAAAUCCCCGGGCUCAACCUGGGAACUGCAUCUGAUACUGGCAAGCUUGAGUCUCGUAGAGGGGGGUAGAAUUCCAGGUGUAGCGGUGAAAUGCGUAGAGAUCUGGAGGAAUACCGGUGGCGAAGGCGGCCCCCCUGGACGAAGACUGACGCUCAGGUGCGAAAGCGUGGGGAGCAAACAGGAUUAGAUACCCUGGUAGUCCACGCCGUAAACGAUGUCGACUUGGAGGUUGUGCCCUUGAGGCGUGGCUUCCGGAGCUAACGCGUUAAGUCGACCGCCUGGGGAGUACGGCCGCAAGGUUAAAACUCAAAUGAAUUGACGGGGGCCCGCACAAGCGGUGGAGCAUGUGGUUUAAUUCGAUGCAACGCGAAGAACCUUACCUGGUCUUGACAUCCACAGAACUUUCCAGAGAUGGAUUGGUGCCUUCGGGAACUGUGAGACAGGUGCUGCAUGGCUGUCGUCAGCUCGUGUUGUGAAAUGUUGGGUUAAGUCCCGCAACGAGCGCAACCCUUAUCCUUUGUUGCCAGCGGUCCGGCCGGGAACUCAAAGGAGACUGCCAGUGAUAAACUGGAGGAAGGUGGGGAUGACGUCAAGUCAUCAUGGCCCUUACGACCAGGGCUACACACGUGCUACAAUGGCGCAUACAAAGAGAAGCGACCUCGCGAGAGCAAGCGGACCUCAUAAAGUGCGUCGUAGUCCGGAUUGGAGUCUGCAACUCGACUCCAUGAAGUCGGAAUCGCUAGUAAUCGUGGAUCAGAAUGCCACGGUGAAUACGUUCCCGGGCCUUGUACACACCGCCCGUCACACCAUGGGAGUGGGUUGCAAAAGAAGUAGGUAGCUUAACCUUCGGGAGGGCGCUUACCACUUUGUGAUUCAUGACUGGGGUGAAGUCGUAACAAGGUAACCGUAGGGGAACCUGCGGUUGGAUCACCUCCUUA